Molecule: ribosomal RNA, 36 nt
Filed under: Vaccinium stamineum
Lineage: Eukaryota; Viridiplantae; Streptophyta; Magnoliopsida; Ericales; Ericaceae
Description: partial 18S ribosomal RNA
Source: RNAcentral
UAUCAUUUAGAGGAAGGAGAAGUCGUAACAAGGUUU